This 543-nucleotide long non-coding RNA is filed under the name Olea europaea subsp. europaea. Lineage: Eukaryota; Viridiplantae; Streptophyta; Magnoliopsida; Lamiales; Oleaceae. The record is from RNAcentral.
UCCUGAAUUCGCCCCUGAUUCCACCGGUGCUCUACUCCUUCAACAUUCCCAGCAAAAACGAGUAGAAAUGGAGGUAAUGAACCCAAUUCGUAGAUUCUGUACCUCUUUUGAAUUCUCAUCUGAUACUAGAGUUUUUCUGUGUACCCUUGAGCUCUCCAUUUUUUCAAAUCAAUUGCCAUCACGUCGGUGUUGACAUAACAUGGGUUACGGCCUUUGAAUAUUGUGAAAAAUGCUAGACUUUUCUAGAAUCUUGAUGUGAAGUAAUCGCUGAAAUUAGCAUGGCAAUAUUCGAGGGCACCUAAGACGCGGGAAUUAAGGUUGAUUUGCCAGAGUUUUGCAAUGUCGUUAAUGACUAUGAGGUCGGAGUCAAGGUCGAUAAUGUAGAUGACGACUGGGAGGAUGAGGUCAGAGAAAUUGGUGGUGGUGGUUGCCGAAGGUGGUUGUUGUGGUUGGGUGGGGUGGUUUUGAUUUUGGGGAAGAUGGAGAUGGGGAUAGGUUGUGGCUUUAUUUAUUAUUAUUUUUUUAAUUUUUGACUUAAUAGGG